RNAcentral lists this signal recognition particle RNA (99 nucleotides) under bacterium. RNAcentral's name for it is "signal recognition particle sRNA small type". It matches the Rfam family "Bacterial small signal recognition particle RNA". From Rfam's summary of the family: The signal recognition particle (SRP) is a universally conserved ribonucleoprotein involved in the co-translational targeting of proteins to membranes. Archaeal SRP consists of a 7S RNA and homologues of the eukaryotic SRP19 and SRP54 proteins. In most bacteria, the SRP consists of a 4.5S RNA and the Ffh protein (a homologue of the eukaryotic SRP54 protein). The record is from RNAcentral.
GGUCGGGUCCCAUGCGGCGUCGCGCCGUGAACCCCGUCAGGCCCGGAAGGGAGCAGCGGUAAGCGGAAAGCACGGGUGUCAUGGAUCAGCCUGAUCCUG